AGCGAACGCUGGCGGCAGGCCUAACACAUGCCAGUCGAACGAACUCUUCGGAGUUAGUGGCGGACGGGUGAGUAACACGUGGGAACGUGCCUUUUGGUUCGGAAUAACUCAGGGAAACUUGUGCUAAUACCGAAUGUGCCCUUCGGGGGAAAGAUUUAUCGCCAUUAGAGCGGCCCGCGUCUGAUUAGCUAGUUGGUGAGGUAACGGCUCACCAAGGCGACGAUCAGUAGCUGGUCUGAGAGGAUGACCAGCCACACUGGGACUGAGACACGGCCCAGACUCCUACGGGAGGCAGCAGUGGGGAAUCUUGCGCAAUGGGCGAAAGCCUGACGCAGCCAUGCCGCGUGAAUGAUGAAGGUCUUUGGAUUGUAAAAUUCUUUCACCGGGGACGAUAAUGACGGUACCCGGAGAAGAAGCCCCGGCUAACUUCGUG
RNAcentral lists this ribosomal RNA (433 nucleotides) under uncultured bacterium. RNAcentral's name for it is "partial 16S ribosomal RNA". It matches the Rfam family "Bacterial small subunit ribosomal RNA", at positions 29 to 507 of the family's 1533-position model. The record is from RNAcentral.